GACGAAGGGGGCUAGCGUUGUUCGGAAUCACUGGGCGUAAAGCGUACGUAGGCGGACCGUUAAGUCGGAGGUGAAAGCCUGGAGCUCAACUCCAGAACUGCCUUCGAUACUGGCGGUCUCGAGUCCGGGAGAGGUGAGUGGAACUGCCAGUGUAGAGGUGAAAUUCGUAGAUAUUGGCAAGAACACCAGUGGCGAAGGCGGCUCACUGGCCCGGUACUGACGCUGGGGUACGAAAGCGUGGGGAGCAAACAGG
Molecule: ribosomal RNA, 253 nt
Filed under: uncultured bacterium
Lineage: Bacteria
Description: partial 16S ribosomal RNA
Rfam family: Bacterial small subunit ribosomal RNA
Source: RNAcentral